RNAcentral lists this long non-coding RNA (269 nucleotides) under Mytilus galloprovincialis (Mediterranean mussel). Lineage: Eukaryota; Metazoa; Mollusca; Bivalvia; Mytilida; Mytilidae. The record is from RNAcentral.
CAUUGACAUAUCUCAUUUCCAUGGAGAUUAUUUGGCCCUGCCCCCUUAGUCAUGGUCUAUUGACUUUGAAAUUGUUUCUAUGUUAUCAUGUAUUAGUUUGUGAUUAGGUCAGUUCAAGGGGAACCAUUAGUGGUAGGCCAAUGUUAAUUGGUAUUCAGUUGUAUAAUCUUUGGCACAUCUCAUUUCCAUGGAGAAUAUUUGGCCUUGCCCCUCAGUCACAGUCUAAUGACUUUGAAACUUAUCUUAGUUUACAUGUAUUAGUUUGUGAU